This 237-nucleotide ribosomal RNA is filed under the name uncultured bacterium. RNAcentral's name for it is "partial 16S ribosomal RNA". It matches the Rfam family "Bacterial small subunit ribosomal RNA", at positions 99 to 334 of the family's 1533-position model. The record is from RNAcentral.
CGAACGGGUGAGUAACGCGUGAGUAACCUGCCCUGGAGUGGGGGACAACAGUUGGAAACGACUGCUAAUACCGCAUAAGCCCACGGAUCCGCAUGGAUCUGCGGGAAAAGGAUUUAUUCGCUUCAGGAUGGACUCGCGUCCAAUUAGCUAGUUGGUGAGGUAACGGCCCACCAAGGCGACGAUUGGUAACCGGACUGAGAGGUUGAACGGCCACAUUGGGACUGAGACACGGCCCAG